Molecule: ribosomal RNA, 521 nt
Filed under: uncultured bacterium
Lineage: Bacteria
Description: bacterial SSU rRNA
Rfam family: Bacterial small subunit ribosomal RNA
Source: RNAcentral
AAUAGAUACCCAGGUAGUCCACGCUGUAAACGUUGGACACUAGGUGUGGCGGUCUGAUCAACGACUGCCGUGCCGAAGCUAACGCAUUAAGUGUCCCGCCUGGGGAGUACGGCCGCAAGGCUAAAACUCAAAGGAAUUGACGGGUCCCCGCACAAGCGGCGGAGCAUGCGGCUUAAUUCGAUGCAACCCGAAGAACCUUACCUGGGUUUGACAUCAUGGGAAAAGCCGUGGAAACACGGUGUCCGUAAGGGCCCAUGACAGGUGGUGCAUGGCUGUCGUCAGCUCGUGUCGUGAGAUGUUGGGUUAAGUCCCGCAACGAGCGCAACCCUUGUCCUAUGUUGCCAGCGGUUCGGCCGGGGACUCAUAGGAGACUGCCGGGGAUAACUCGGAGGAAGGUGAGGACGAUGUCAAGUCAUCAUGCCCCUUAUAUCCAGGGCUGCACGCAUGCUACAAUGGUCGGUACAACGGGCAGCGAUCCUGCGAAGGUGAGCGAAUCCCGACAACGCCGGCCUCAGUUCGGA